UAGGGAAUCUUCCACAAUGGACGCAAGUCUGAUGGAGCAACCCGCGUGAGUGAAGAAGGUCUUCGGAUCGUAAAGCUCUGUUGUUGGUGAAGAAGGAUAGAGGCAGUAACUGGUCUUUAUUUGACGGUAAUCAACCAGAAAGUCACGGCUAACUACGUGCCAGCAGCCGCGGUAAUACGUAGGUGGCAAGCGUUGUCCGGAUUUAUUGGGCGUAAAGCGAGCGCAGGCGGAAUGAUAAGUCUGAUGUGAAAGCCCACGGCUCACCGUGGAACUGCAUCGGAAACUGUCAUUCUUGAGUGCAGAAGAGGAGAGUGGAACUCCAUGUGUAGCGGUGGAAUGCGUAGAUAUAUGGAAGAACACCAGUGGCGAAGGCGGCUCUCUGGUCUGCAACUGACGCUGAGGCUCGAAAGCAUGGGUAGCGAACAGGAUUAGAUACCCUGGUAGUCCAUGCCGUAAACGAU
RNAcentral lists this ribosomal RNA (461 nucleotides) under uncultured bacterium. RNAcentral's name for it is "partial 16S ribosomal RNA". It matches the Rfam family "Bacterial small subunit ribosomal RNA", at positions 355 to 810 of the family's 1533-position model. The record is from RNAcentral.